Molecule: long non-coding RNA, 327 nt
Organism: Alligator sinensis (Chinese alligator)
Lineage: Eukaryota; Metazoa; Chordata; Crocodylia; Alligatoridae
Exons: 3
Source: RefSeq, a predicted model, not a curated record
UCAUGAGAAGUCAAUUCACAUGGGUAAAAGACUGGAGAACUGAGCCCUAGGGGCUUAAAUCCUUUUUUGGAACAGGAAGAAGCAUCGUGGAUCCCUAUAACUUCAGAAGAAUGAAAAUUCACAGGUUGUGCAGAAGUAGCAGUGCUUGCAGUACCAAAGAGGAUGGAAAGGAGGUGGGCCUUUUCCUCCUUCUCACUGACCAGCCAAGCUGACUCAGCAGGCACUGGAGAAGACAUCAAGAGUCCUCUGAAGAGAUGUAGCAGCCGAUGAUUCUUUGCUCCCCACAACUUCCACCCAAGCCCCUGCCUUAUCUUCAAAACAAGUGUG